RNAcentral lists this ribosomal RNA (1348 nucleotides) under uncultured bacterium. RNAcentral's name for it is "bacterial SSU rRNA". It matches the Rfam family "Bacterial small subunit ribosomal RNA", at positions 30 to 1399 of the family's 1533-position model. The record is from RNAcentral.
CGAACGCUGGCGGCGCGCCUAACACAUGCAAGUCGAACGAGCGAGAGAGAGCUUGCUUUCUCGAGCGAGUGGCGAACGGGUGAGUAACGCGUGAGGAACCUGCCUCAAAGAGGGGGACAACAGUUGGAAACGACUGCUAAUACCGCAUAAGCCCACGGGUCGGCAUCGACCAGAGGGAAAAGGAGCAAUCCGCUUUGAGAUGGCCUCGCGUCCGAUUAGCUAGUUGGUGAGGUAACGGCCCACCAAGGCGACGAUCGGUAGCCGGACUGAGAGGUUGAACGGCCACAUUGGGACUGAGACACGGCCCAGACUCCUACGGGAGGCAGCAGUGGGGAAUAUUGCACAAUGGGGGAAACCCUGAUGCAGCGACGCCGCGUGGAGGAAGAAGGUCUUCGGAUUGUAAACUCCUGUUGUUGGGGAAGAUAAUGACGGUACCCAACAAGGAAGUGACGGCUAACUACGUGCCAGCAGCCGCGGUAAAACGUAGGUCACAAGCGUUGUCCGGAAUUACUGGGUGUAAAGGGAGCGCAGGCGGGAAGACAAGUUGGAAGUGAAAUCUAUGGGCUCAACCCAUAAACUGCUUUCAAAACUGUUUUUCUUGAGUAGUGCAGAGGUAGGCGGAAUUCCCGGUGUAGCGGUGGAAUGCGUAGAUAUCGGGAGGAACACCAGUGGCGAAGGCGGCCUACUGGGCACCAACUGACGCUGAGGCUCGAAAGUGUGGGUAGCAAACAGGAUUAGAUACCCUGGUAGUCCACACCGUAAACGAUGAUUACUAGGUGUUGGAGGAUUGACCCCUUCAGUGCCGCAGUUAACACAAUAAGUAAUCCACCUGGGGAGUACGACCGCAAGGUUGAAACUCAAAGGAAUUGACGGGGGCCCGCACAAGCAGUGGAGUAUGUGGUUUAAUUCGACGCAACGCGAAGAACCUUACCAAGUCUUGACAUCCCUUGACAGGCAUAGAAAUAUGUUUUCUCUUCGGAGCAAGGAGACAGGUGGUGCAUGGUUGUCGUCAGCUCGUGUCGUGAGAUGUUGGGUUAAGUCCCGCAACGAGCGCAACCCUUAUGGUCAGUUACUACGCAAGAGGACUCUGGCCAGACUGCCGUUGACAAAACGGAGGAAGGUGGGGAUGACGUCAAAUCAUCAUGCCCUUUAUGACUUGGGCUACACACGUACUACAAUGGCGUUAGACAAAGAGAAGCGAGACCGCGAGGUGGAGCAAAACUCAGAAACAACGUCCCAGUUCGGACUGCAGGCUGCAACUCGCCUGCACGAAGUCGGAAUUGCUAGUAAUCGUGGAUCAGCAUGCCACGGUGAAUACGUUCCCGGGCCUUGUACUCAACGCCCGUCA